CCGACCGAGGGGUGCUGCCCGACCACCGCGUGGCCCCCGCGCUGGAGGCGCCGGCCGCCAGGCUGGCCAAGGAGAUGGCGAAGGACAAGGUGGGGAAGG
Molecule: non-coding RNA, 99 nt
Filed under: Heterosigma akashiwo
Lineage: Eukaryota; Raphidophyceae; Chattonellales; Chattonellaceae
Source: RNAcentral